GUGGGAUUAGUGAUUGGGGUGAAGUCGUAACAAGGUAGCCGUAGGAGAACCUGCGGCUGGAUCACCUCCUUUCUAAGGAG
This 80-nucleotide ribosomal RNA is filed under the name Clostridium botulinum. Its description in RNAcentral is "partial 16S ribosomal RNA". It matches the Rfam family "Bacterial small subunit ribosomal RNA", at positions 1462 to 1533 of the family's 1533-position model. Lineage: Bacteria; Bacillati; Bacillota; Clostridia; Eubacteriales; Clostridiaceae. The record is from RNAcentral.